CAGUUAGCGGUGGAUCACUUGGGUCGUAGAUCGAUGAAGAACGCAGCUAGACUGCGAUAGGCGGCGCGAAUUGCAGGACACGCUGAGCGCUUGAUAUUCGAACGCAUAUUGCGGCUUUCGUUGGCAACAAUGAAAGCCCUGUCUGUAUGAGGGUCGGUUA
Molecule: ribosomal RNA, 160 nt
Filed under: Fragariocoptes setiger
Lineage: Eukaryota; Metazoa; Arthropoda; Arachnida; Trombidiformes; Phytoptidae
Description: 5.8S ribosomal RNA
Rfam family: 5.8S ribosomal RNA
About the family: 5.8S ribosomal RNA (5.8S rRNA) is a component of the large subunit of the eukaryotic ribosome.
Source: RNAcentral